RNAcentral lists this ribosomal RNA (430 nucleotides) under Pseudomonadota bacterium. RNAcentral describes it as "Proteobacteria bacterium partial 16S ribosomal RNA". It matches the Rfam family "Bacterial small subunit ribosomal RNA", at positions 355 to 776 of the family's 1533-position model. The record is from RNAcentral. Lineage: Bacteria; Pseudomonadati; Pseudomonadota.
UGGGGAAUAUUGGACAAUGGGGGGAACCCUGAUCCAGCCAUGCCGCGUGUGUGAAGAAGGCCUUAUGGUUGUAAAGCACUUUAAGCGAGGAGGAGGGUACUGGUAUUAAUACUACCAGCUACUGGACGUUACUCGCAGAAUAAGCACCGGCUAACUCUGUGCCAGCAGCCGCGGUAAUACAGAGGGUGCGAGCGUUAAUCGGAUUUACUGGGCGUAAAGCGUGCGUAGGCGGCUAAUUGAGUCGGAUGUGAAAUCCCCGAGCUUAACUUGGGAAUUGCAUUCGAUACUGGUUAGCUAGGGUGUGGGAGAGGAUGGUAGAAUGCCAGGUGUAGCGGUGAAAUGCGUAAAGAUCUGGAGGAAUACCGAUGGCGAAGGCAGCCAUCUGGCCUAACACUGACGCUGAGGUACGAAAGCAUGGGGAGCAAACAGG